Molecule: long non-coding RNA, 438 nt
Filed under: Nicotiana benthamiana
Lineage: Eukaryota; Viridiplantae; Streptophyta; Magnoliopsida; Solanales; Solanaceae
Description: long non-coding RNA (NBEN_LNC021370)
Source: RNAcentral
UUUGUUAUAAAGUGGGGUUAUGGUUCCCACAUUAUUGCAAGACAAACUCUUCUUCCUCCCAUUGAAUCAAGAGUAAAAACUCCAUUGUUGCUGUCUUGCAAAUUCUUGUGGAAAACCAUAUACCAACUUUGGUUAUUGUCAUAAUAUUAUUAUUGUUGUGAAACCAUUACAUAUUGUUUAAAUCUUGUGAAACAAUUGUUGUGGAUACAUAUACUUCAAGACAAUCUUGAAGAAAGGAUCAAGGAGUUCACAAGGACAUUUGGACAAUCAUCAAAGGAGGUUCAACAAUUUCCACUUAUGGAUUCAGGUUAGCUUCCGCUCAUGUAGUUGUAAUUCCGAAUUGUUCAAUAUGAAGGUUAUUGUAUUUAGUUGGAAUCAUAAUCCUAUCAAUUGGUAUCAGAGCCACCUUCAUUUUUUGAUAAUUUGGAUGUUCAUAAG